UACGUAGGGGGCAAGCGUUGUCCGGAAUUAUUGGGCGUAAAGAGCACGUAGGCGGUAGUAUAAGUUGGAUGUGAAAGGCUACGGCUCAACCGUAGAGCUGCAUCCAAAACUGUAUCACUUGAGUGCAGAAGAGGAGAGUGGAAUUCCCGGUGUAGCGGUGGAAUGCGUAGAUAUCGGGAGGAACACCAGUGGCGAAGGCGACUCUCUGGUCUGUAACUGACGCUGAGGUGCGAAAGCGUGGGGAGCGAACAGG
This 253-nucleotide ribosomal RNA is filed under the name uncultured bacterium. Its description in RNAcentral is "partial 16S ribosomal RNA". It matches the Rfam family "Bacterial small subunit ribosomal RNA", at positions 524 to 776 of the family's 1533-position model. The record is from RNAcentral.